CACCGCCUGGGGAGUACGACCGCAAGGUUAAAACUCAAAUGAAUUGACGGGGACCCGCACAAGUAGUGGAGCAUGUGGUUUAAUUCGAAGAUACGCGCAGAACCUUACCAACACUUGACAUGUUCGUCGCGACUUUAAGAGAUUAAAGUUUUCGGUUCGGCCGGACGAAACACAGGUGCUGCAUGGCUGUCGUCAGCUCGUGUCGUGAGAUGUUGGGUUAAGUCCCGCAACGAGCGCAACCCUCACUUUUAGUUGCCAUCAUUAAGUUGGGCACUCUGAAAGAACUGCCAGUGAUAAGCUGGAGGAAGGUGGGGAUGACGUCAAGUCCUCAUGGCCCUUACGUGUUGGGCUACACACGUGCUACAAUGGCAUUUACAAUAGGAAGCAAGAUGGCGACGUCAAGCAAAUCCUAAAAAGAUGCCUCAGUUCGGAUUGUACUCUGCAACUCGAGUACAUGAAGCUGGAAUUACUAGUAAUCGCGGAUCAGCGCGCCGCGGUGAAUACGUUCCCGGGUCUUGUACACACCGCCCGUCACACCAUGGGAGUUGGUUCUACCUUAAGGCAAAGUUUAAAACCUUUGACCACGGUAUAGUCAGCGACUGGGGUGAAGUCGUAACAAGGUAGCCGUAGGGGAACCUGCGGCUGGAUUACCUCCUUUCUAAGGAUGAUCAAAAAUUUAUUUUUGAUCUAAAUAUUUAACAGGUUAAUGUUGACCGUCCUCAUUUCUCUUCUUAAUUUUAAGUGUUUCUCUUUACUGAAUAAGGGCCGGUAGCUCAGUUGGUUAGAGCACACCCUUGAUAAGGGUGGGGUCGAAAGUUCGAGUCUUUCUCGGCCCACCAUUUUUUGGGGGAUUAGCUCAGCUGGGAGAGCGCCUGAUUUGCAUUCAGGAGGUCAGCGGUUCGAUCCCGCUAUCCUCCACCAGAAACACUUAGUUAUUUAAAUUGUAAAUAAAAUUAAUAUUAUCAAUAUCUAUAUCCGAUUGUUCGAAUAGAUGAACAAUCAUUGAAUGUUCGAAAAGAUGAACAUUCCAACAAAAUUUGAUUCAACACAGAAUUUUUUUCUG
Molecule: small RNA, 1063 nt
Filed under: uncultured Pelagibacterales bacterium
Lineage: Bacteria; Pseudomonadati; Pseudomonadota; Alphaproteobacteria; Candidatus Pelagibacterales
Description: bacterial SSU rRNA
Rfam family: Bacterial small subunit ribosomal RNA (bases 1-658)
Source: RNAcentral